RNAcentral lists this ribosomal RNA (519 nucleotides) under uncultured bacterium. Its description in RNAcentral is "bacterial SSU rRNA". It matches the Rfam family "Bacterial small subunit ribosomal RNA", at positions 8 to 518 of the family's 1533-position model. The record is from RNAcentral.
AGAGUUUGAUUAUGGCUCAGGAUGAACGCUAGCGACAGGCUUAACACAUGCAAGUCGAGGGGCAGCAUAGAAGUAGCAAUACUUUGGUGGCGACCGGCGCACGGGUGAGUAACGCGUAUGCAACCUACCUAUCAGAGGGGAAUAACCCGGCGAAAGUCGGACUAAUACCGCAUAAAACAGGGGCACCGCAUGGUGAUAUUUGUUAAAGAAAUUCGCUGAUAGAUGGGCAUGCGUUCCAUUAGGUAGUUGGUGAGGUAACGGCUCACCAAGCCGACGAUGGAUAGGGGAACUGAGAGGUUGGUCCCCCACACUGGUACUGAGACACGGACCAGACUCCUACGGGAGGCAGCAGUGAGGAAUAUUGGUCAAUGGGCGGGAGCCUGAACCAGCCAAGUCGCCGUGAAGGAAGAAGGAUCUAUGGUUCGUAAACUUCUUUUGCAGGGGAAUAAAGUGCAGGACGUGUCCUGUUUUGUAUGUACCCUGAGAAUAAGGAUCGGCUAACUCCGUGCCAGCCGCCGC